UACGGAGGGUGCGAGCGUUGUCCGGAAUCACUGGGGGUAAAGGGCGCGUAGGGGGCCUGAUAGGUGGGGGGUGAAAUCCUGCGGCUUAACCGCAGGGCUGCCUUCUAAACUGUCGGGCUAGAGCACGGUAGAGGCAGAUGGAAUUCCCGGUGUAGCGGUGGAAUGCGUAGAGAUCGGGAAGAACAUCAGUGGCGAAGGCGGUCUGCUGGGCCGUUGCUGACGCUGAGGCGCGACAGCGUGGGGAGCGAACAGG
RNAcentral lists this ribosomal RNA (253 nucleotides) under uncultured bacterium. Its description in RNAcentral is "partial 16S ribosomal RNA". It matches the Rfam family "Bacterial small subunit ribosomal RNA", at positions 524 to 776 of the family's 1533-position model. The record is from RNAcentral.